This 76-nucleotide transfer RNA is filed under the name Candidatus Avisuccinivibrio stercorigallinarum. RNAcentral's name for it is "tRNA-Thr". It matches the Rfam family "tRNA". From Rfam's summary of the family: Transfer RNA (tRNA) molecules are approximately 80 nucleotides in length. Their secondary structure includes four short double-helical elements and three loops (D, anti-codon, and T loops). Lineage: Bacteria; Pseudomonadati; Pseudomonadota; Gammaproteobacteria; Aeromonadales; Succinivibrionaceae. The record is from RNAcentral.
GCUGGUUUAGCUCAGUUGGUAGAGCACCUGUUUUGUAAACAGGGGGUCGUGAGUUCGAGACUUACAACCAGCACCA